RNAcentral lists this ribosomal RNA (433 nucleotides) under uncultured bacterium. RNAcentral describes it as "partial 16S ribosomal RNA". It matches the Rfam family "Bacterial small subunit ribosomal RNA", at positions 29 to 507 of the family's 1533-position model. The record is from RNAcentral.
AACGAACGCUGGCGGCAUGCCUAACACAUGCAAGUCGAACGAGCCCUUCGGGACUAGUCGCGCACGGGUGCGUCACCCGUGGGAACAUGCCCUCAGGGACGGCCUACCUAUCCGACAGGGGUGCUAAUACCGGACAAUGUCUACGGCCCAAUGAUUUAUCGCCGUUGGUUGGGCCCGCGUUGGAUUAGCUUGUUGGUAGGGUAAUAGCUUACCAAGGCGACGAUUCAUAGCUUGUCAGAGAGGAUGGUCAGCCACACUGGGAGUAGGACACGGCCCGGAAUCUUACGGGAGGCAGCAGUGGGUAAUAUUGGACAAUGGGCGAAGGCAUGAUCCAGCAAUGCCGCGUGAGUGAUGAAGGCCGUAGGGAUGAAAAGCGCUUUUACCCGGGAUGAUAAUGACAGUACCGGGAGAAUAAGCUCCGGCUAACUACGUG